RNAcentral lists this ribosomal RNA (497 nucleotides) under uncultured bacterium. Its description in RNAcentral is "partial 16S ribosomal RNA". It matches the Rfam family "Bacterial small subunit ribosomal RNA", at positions 28 to 507 of the family's 1533-position model. The record is from RNAcentral.
GAUGAACGCUGGCGGCGUGCCUAAUACAUGCAAGUCGAGCGAACAGACGAGGAUCUUGCCCCGCUGACGUUAGCGGCGGACGGGUGAGUAACACGUGGAUAACCUACCUAUAAGACUAGGAUCACUUCGGGAAACCGGAGCUAAUACCGGACAAUAUAUUGAACCGCAUGGUUCAAUAGUGAAAGACGGUUUUGCUGUCACUUAUACAUGGAUCCAGGCCGCAUUAGCUAGUUGGUAAGGUAACGGCCUACCAAGGCAACGAUGCGUAGCCGACCUGAGAGGGUGAUCAGCCACACUGGAACUGAGACACGGUCCAGACUCCUACGGGAGGCAGCAGUAGGGAAUAUUCCGCAAUGGGCGAAAGCCUGAUGGAGCAACGCCGCGUGAGUGAAGAAGGUCUUCGGAUUGUAAAACUCUGUUAUUAGGGAAGAACAAAUGUGUAAGAAACUAUGCACGUCUUGACGGUACCAAAACAGAAAGCACCGGCUAACUACGUG